GAUCAUGGCUCAGGAUGAACGCUGGCGGCGUGCCUAACACAUGCAAGUCGAGCGAAGCGCCUGGAAGUUUUCGGACAGAAGGGCGACUGAGCGGCGGACGGGUGAGUAACGCGUGGGUAAUCUGCCUCAUACAGGGGAAUAACAGCUAGAAAUGGCUGCUAAUGCCGCAUAAGCGCACAGGACCGCAUGGUCUGGUGUGAAAAACUCCGGUGGUAUGAGAUGAACCCGCG
RNAcentral lists this ribosomal RNA (230 nucleotides) under uncultured bacterium. RNAcentral describes it as "partial 16S ribosomal RNA". It matches the Rfam family "Bacterial small subunit ribosomal RNA", at positions 15 to 235 of the family's 1533-position model. The record is from RNAcentral.